AAUUUUCCGCAAUGGGCGCAAGCCUGACGGAGCAAUACCGCGGGAGGAAAGAAUGCCUGUGGGUUGUAAACCUCUUUUCUUAGGGAAGAAUUAUGACGGUACUUAACGAAUAAGCAUCGACUAACUCCGUGCCAGCAGCCGCGGUAAUACGGCGGAUGUAAGCGUUAUCCGGAAUCACUGGGCGUAAAGCGUCUGUAGGUGGCUUAGUAAGUCUGCUGUUAAAUAUUAGAGCUUAACUCUAAAUCAGCAGUGGAAACUUUAAACUAGAGUAUGGUAGGGCAAAGGGAAUUCCCAGUGUAGCGGUGAAAUGCGUAGAUAUUAGGAAGAAUACCGGUAGCGAAAGCGCUUUGCUUGGCCUUAACUGCCACUCAGAGACGAAAGCUAAGGUAGCGAAUGGGAUUAGAUACCCCAGUAGUCUUAGCUGUA
RNAcentral lists this ribosomal RNA (426 nucleotides) under uncultured marine bacterium. RNAcentral describes it as "bacterial SSU rRNA". It matches the Rfam family "Bacterial small subunit ribosomal RNA", at positions 360 to 804 of the family's 1533-position model. The record is from RNAcentral.